CCUACGGUGGGCAGCAGUGAGGAAUAUUGGUCAAUGGACGGAAGUCUGAACCAGCCAUGUCGCGUGCAGGAAGACGGCUCUAUGAGUUGUAAACUGCUUUUGUACAAGGGUAAACCUGAAUACGUGUAUUCAGCUGACAGUACUGUACGAAUAAGGAUCGGCUAACUCCGUGCCAGCAGCCGCGGUAAUACAGAGGAUCCAAGCGUUAUCCGGAUUUAUUGGGUUUAAAGGGUGCGUAGGCGGAUUGAUAAGGUAGAGGUGAAAUGUCCGAGCUUAACUCGGGAACUGCCUCUAAUACUGUUGAACUAGAGAGUAGGUGGGGUAGGCGGAAUGUAUGGUGUAGCGGUGAAAUGCUUAGAGAUCA
Molecule: ribosomal RNA, 364 nt
Filed under: uncultured bacterium
Lineage: Bacteria
Description: partial 16S ribosomal RNA
Rfam family: Bacterial small subunit ribosomal RNA
Source: RNAcentral